RNAcentral lists this transfer RNA (74 nucleotides) under Chromohalobacter israelensis DSM 3043. RNAcentral's name for it is "Chromohalobacter salexigens DSM 3043 tRNA". It matches the Rfam family "tRNA". Rfam says of the family: Transfer RNA (tRNA) molecules are approximately 80 nucleotides in length. Lineage: Bacteria; Pseudomonadati; Pseudomonadota; Gammaproteobacteria; Oceanospirillales; Halomonadaceae. The record is from Rfam by way of RNAcentral.
GCCCCCGUAGCUCAGCUGGAUAGAGCAAUCCCCUCCUAAGGGAUAGGUCAUAGGUUCGAAUCCUAUCGGGGGCG